This 2540-nucleotide ribosomal RNA is filed under the name Escherichia coli. Its description in RNAcentral is "partial 23S ribosomal RNA". It matches the Rfam family "Bacterial large subunit ribosomal RNA", at positions 417 to 2925 of the family's 2925-position model. The record is from RNAcentral. Lineage: Bacteria; Pseudomonadati; Pseudomonadota; Gammaproteobacteria; Enterobacterales; Enterobacteriaceae.
GCGGGACACGUGGUAUCCUGUCUGAAUAUGGGGGGACCAUCCUCCAAGGCUAAAUACUCCUGACUGACCGAUAGUGAACCAGUACCGUGAGGGAAAGGCGAAAAGAACCCCGGCGAGGGGAGUGAAAAAGAACCUGAAACCGUGUACGUACAAGCAGUGGGAGCCUCUUAAUGGGGUGACUGCGUACCUUUUGUAUAAUGGGUCAGCGACUUAUAUUCUGUAGCAAGGUUAACCGAAUAGGGGAGCCGAAGGGAAACCGAGUCUUAACUGGGCGCUAAGUUGCAGGGUAUAGACCCGAAACCCGGUGAUCUAGCCAUGGGCAGGUUGAAGGUUGGGUAACACUAACUGGAGGACCGAACCGACUAAUGUUGAAAAAUUAGCGGAUGACUUGUGGCUGGGGGUGAAAGGCCAAUCAAACCGGGAGAUAGCUGGUUCUCCCCGAAAGCUAUUUAGGUAGCGCCUCGUGAAUUCAUCUCCGGGGGUAGAGCACUGUUUCGGCAAGGGGGUCAUCCCGACUUACCAACCCGAUGCAAACUGCGAAUACCGGAGAAUGUUAUCACGGGAGACACACGGCGGGUGCUAACGUCCGUCGUGAAGAGGGAAACAACCCAGACCGCCAGCUAAGGUCCCAAAGUCAUGGUUAAGUGGGAAACGAUGUGGGAAGGCCCAGACAGCCAGGAUGUUGGCUUAGAAGCAGCCAUCAUUUAAAGAAAGCGUAAUAGCUCACUGGUCGAGUCGGCCUGCGCGGAAGAUGUAACGGGGCUAAACCAUGCACCGAAGCUGCGGCAGCGACACUAUGUGUUGUUGGGUAGGGGAGCGUUCUGUAAGCCUGUGAAGGUGGCCUGUGAGGGUUGCUGGAGGUAUCAGAAGUGCGAAUGCUGACAUAAGUAACGAUAAAGCGGGUGAAAAGCCCGCUCGCCGGAAGACCAAGGGUUCCUGUCCAACGUUAAUCGGGGCAGGGUGAGUCGACCCCUAAGGCGAGGCCGAAAGGCGUAGUCGAUGGGAAACAGGUUAAUAUUCCUGUACUUGGUGUUACUGCGAAGGGGGGACGGAGAAGGCUAUGUUGGCCGGGCGACGGUUGUCCCGGUUUAAGCGUGUAGGCUGGUUUUCCAGGCAAAUCCGGAAAACCAAGGCUGAGGCGUGAUGACGAGGCACUACGGUGCUGAAGCGACAAAUGCCCUGCUUCCAGGAAAAGCCUCUAAGCAUCAGGUAACAUCAAAUCGUACCCCAAACCGACACAGGUGGUCAGGUAGAGAAUACCAAGGCGCUUGAGAGAACUCGGGUGAAGGAACUAGGCAAAAUGGUGCCGUAACUUCGGGAGAAGGCACGCUGAUAUGUAGGUGAAGCGACUUGCUCGUGGAGCUGAAAUCAGUCGAAGAUACCAGCUGGCUGCAACUGUUUAUUAAAAACACAGCACUGUGCAAACACGAAAGUGGACGUAUACGGUGUGACGCCUGCCCGGUGCCGGAAGGUUAAUUGAUGGGGUUAGCGGUAACGCGAAGCUCUUGAUCGAAGCCCCGGUAAACGGCGGCCGUAACUAUAACGGUCCUAAGGUAGCGAAAUUCCUUGUCGGGUAAGUUCCGACCUGCACGAAUGGCGUAAUGAUGGCCAGGCUGUCUCCACCCGAGACUCAGUGAAAUUGAACUCGCUGUGAAGAUGCAGUGUACCCGCGGCAAGACGGAAAGACCCCGUGAACCUUUACUAUAGCUUGACACUGAACAUUGAGCCUUGAUGUGUAGGAUAGGUGGGAGGCUUUGAAGUGUGGACGCCAGUCUGCAUGGAGCCGACCUUGAAAUACCACCCUUUAAUGUUUGAUGUUCUAACGUUGGCCCCUAAUCGGGGUUGCGGACAGUGUCUGGUGGGUAGUUUGACUGGGGCGGUCUCCUCCUAAAGAGUAACGGAGGAGCACGAAGGUUGGCUAAUCCUGGUCGGACAUCAGGAGGUUAGUGCAAUGGCAUAAGCCAGCUUGACUGCGAGCGUGACGGCGCGAGCAGGUGCGAAAGCAGGUCAUAGUGAUCCGGUGGUUCUGAAUGGAAGGGCCAUCGCUCAACGGAUAAAAGGUACUCCGGGGAUAACAGGCUGAUACCGCCCAAGAGUUCAUAUCGACGGCGGUGUUUGGCACCUCGAUGUCGGCUCAUCACAUCCUGGGGCUGAAGUAGGUCCCAAGGGUAUGGCUGUUCGCCAUUUAAAGUGGUACGCGAGCUGGGUUUAGAACGUCGUGAGACAGUUCGGUCCCUAUCUGCCGUGGGCGCUGGAGAACUGAGGGGGGCUGCUCCUAGUACGAGAGGACCGGAGUGGACGCAUCACUGGUGUUCGGGUUGUCAUGCCAAUGGCACUGCCCGGUAGCUAAAUGCGGAAGAGAUAAGUGCUGAAAGCAUCUAAGCACGAAACUUGCCCCGAGAUGAGUUCUCCCUGAGACUUAGAGUCUCCUGAAGGAACGUUGAAGACGACGACGUUGAUAGGCCGGGUGUGUAAGCGCAGCGAUGCGUUGAGCUAACCGGUACUAAUGAACCGUGAGGCUUAACCUUACAACGCCGAAG